RNA transcript from Elaeis guineensis (African oil palm), 2708 nucleotides. It is a transcript of the gene named NADPH--cytochrome P450 reductase, with no coding region annotated. The record is from RefSeq and is a predicted model, not a curated record. Lineage: Eukaryota; Viridiplantae; Streptophyta; Magnoliopsida; Arecales; Arecaceae.
ACUGUCCAUCCCUCGGUUGGUGCGCGUCGUUGGCUCUGCCCUGCCCGAACCCACAUAAACCCCCCCACCUCCACGCCCUUUCAAGUUUCACCGGCUCCCCUCUCUGUCUUCACACCAAACCCUUCGCCCGCUCCUUCUUCUCUCUCUUAUCUUCCCUCCCCUCCUCUCCUCCUCCAGGAAUCAAGAAAAGAGAGCGAGCGAGAACGAGGGGGAGAGAGAGGCGAUUGGGAUGCAAUUGGGGGAGAUGAAGUCCUUGGCGCUGGAUCUGAUGUCGGCGAUCGUGAACGGGAAGUACGACGGGGAUGGGGUGCCGCCGGAGAUCCGGGGGAGUCGGGAGCUGCUGGCGGUGCUAACCACGUCAGUGGCGGUUCUGCUUGGCUGCGUGCUCUUGCUGCUCUGGAGGAGAUCGGGCGGCAAGAAGGCCACCCUCGUGGUCGAGCCCCCGCGGCCACUAGAGUUCAGGGAAGAGACGGAGAACGAGCUUGAUAGCGGGAGAAAGAAGGUCACCGUCUUCUUUGGCACCCAGACCGGCACCGCGGAAGGCUUCGCCAAGGCUUUGGCCGAGGAGGCAAGGGCGCGAUAUGAGAAGGCCAUCUUCAAAGUUGUUGAUCUAGAUGAUUACGCAGCUGAUGACGAUGAGUACGAGGAGAAGAUGAAGAACGAGACGUUGGCGUUGUUCUUCUUGGCAACUUAUGGAGAUGGUGAACCAACGGAUAAUGCUGCUAGGUUCUACAAAUGGUUUACCGAGGGGAAGGAGAGGGGAGUUUGGCUUCAGAAUCUUCAGUAUGCUGUGUUUGGUCUGGGAAACAGACAGUACGAGCAUUUCAAUAAGGUCGGCAAGGUAGUGGAUGAGGCCCUUGCUGAACAAGGUGGGAAGCGCCUAGUUCCGUUGGGCCUCGGAGAUGAUGAUCAAUGCAUUGAGGAUGACUUUACUGCAUGGAAGGAGCUGGUGUGGCCAGAGUUGGAUCAACUGCUUCGAGAUGAAGAUGAUGCACCAGGGGCAUCUAACCAUUACACUGCUGCCAUACCGGAAUACCGGGUUGUGUUUCUUGAAAGAACAGAUGCAUCACAUAUGGAGAGGAACUGGAGUCUUGCCAAUGGCCAUGCUGUUCAUGACCUUCAACAUCCUUGCAGAGCUAAUGUGGCUGUGCGGCAGGAGCUACAUACCCCAGCUUCUGAUCGUUCCUGCAUUCAUCUCGAGUUUGACAUUUUUGGAACUGGGCUUGGGUAUGAAACUGGAGACCAUGUUGGUGUUUUUUCCGAGAAUGGUGUUGAGACUGUGGAGGAGGCUGAAAGGCUAUUAGGCUAUUCAUCAGAUACAUUCUUCUCCAUACAUGCAGACAAAGAGGAUGGCACACCAUUAAGUAGCAGCUCUCUAGCGCCUCCUUUCCCAUCUCCAUGCACUUUGAGAACAGCUCUUGCUCGAUAUGCAGACCUACUAAAUUCACCGAAAAAGGCUGCUUUAGUUGCUCUAGCUGCUUAUGCUUCUAAUCCGAGCGAAGCUGAACGAUUAAGAUAUCUAGCUUCUCCUGCAGGAAAGGAUGAAUAUUCCCAAUGGGUAGUUGCAAGUCAGAGGAGCCUUCUUGAAGUUAUGGCAGAAUUUCCUUCAGCCAAACCUCCUCUAGGUGUGUUUUUUGCAGCUAUAGCUCCUCGCUUGCAACCUCGAUAUUACUCUAUAUCAUCUUCUCCAAGGAUGGUACCUUCUAGAAUUCAUGUCACAUGUGCAUUGGUGCAUGGACCAACACCAACAGGAAGGAUUCACAAGGGAGUUUGUUCAACCUGGAUGAAGAACUCAGUUCCAUUGGAAGACAGCCAAGAAUGUAGCUGGGCUCCUAUUUUCGUCAGACAAUCAAAUUUUAAAUUGCCUGCAGAUACAUCCAUACCAAUUAUCAUGAUUGGUCCUGGCACAGGUUUGGCACCCUUUAGGGGCUUCCUGCAGGAAAGGUUGGCAUUGAAAGAAUCUGGAGCUGAACUUGGCCCUGCUAUUUUCUUCUUUGGAUGCAGGAACCGUAAAAUGGUAGCUAUGACUUCAUUUAUGAGGAUGAGCUGAACAAUUUUGUAAAAGCAGGAGCACUGUCUGAGUUAAUUGUUGCCUUCUCUCGUGAAGGUCCAGCCAAAGAAUAUGUGCAGCACAAGAUGGCUGAAAAGGCUGUGGACAUUUGGGAUAUCAUCUCGAAGGGUGGUUAUAUAUAUGUGUGUGGUGAUGCUAAAGGCAUGGCUAGAGACGUCCACCGAGUUCUUCACACCAUAGUUCAAGAGCAGGGUUCUCUGGAUAGCUCUAAGGCUGAGAGCAUGGUGAAAAAUCUGCAAAUGGAAGGGAGGUACUUGCGUGAUGUAUGGUGAGCUUCCCUUGAAAGAGAAAGGGCUUCCAGUGGAUUGUCUUUGGCCAGAAUUUAUGCAGGAAUUUGAAACUCAGAAUGAGUUUCCAGUGGGUGGCACUUGACCGUGCUCCUAUUUUACACAUCUGGAAGUGCAUAUUGUCUUUUGGCCAUGAUUCUUUUGAUCAUCUAACAAGGGUUUUGCUGUGUUUUAUGUAUGUAUAAUCAAUUUUUCAUUAGGCUUAUUCGUUGAAGGAAUAAGAGAGAACUCUAUCUAGUUGAAAGAGCCGUCAGGUUCGAAUGUGGAAAACUUUUCUGUCGGCCUUUAGCAAUUAUUUAUAAUGCCAUCAAUUUUACUAUGAGAUCAUCCAGAUAAAGAAAUGUCGAUGA